ACCAUUUUAUGAGAGGUUGAAGACCAGCGGAAGUUUGAUGAACUGCGUUUGUUCAUAGGACGGCGACACACGGCAAUCUAUGGUAAUAUCCAACAGUGUGGUCUUUUUCGAGUUCAUAGUCCAAAGCUCACCACCGGCCCUUGGGUCUGCAACAGCGGGAUACUGGCGCUACAUUAUGUGAGGCAGUGGAUGUGGACAAAGGCUUUAUCGCCAUUAGGAGAUGAGAUCGACCAUUCCAGGAUGAUCCUUCUUUAUGAAGGUUUGGUAUUAGCUGGGAACAUCAGGCAACUCCCUGCAAAAUUCAAGAUGUGCCAGAUAGAUUGUUGAGAAGGGAGCAAUAGCUUGGUCGGACUAUCACUAUUAGCAUCGCCACAAUCAAGAAGUCAGAAGGGCGUCAUCUGCAACGGCCUUAUCA
This is a long non-coding RNA of Triticum aestivum (bread wheat), 415 nucleotides long. RefSeq lists it as uncharacterized. The transcript is spliced from 3 exons. The record is from RefSeq and is a predicted model, not a curated record. Lineage: Eukaryota; Viridiplantae; Streptophyta; Magnoliopsida; Poales; Poaceae.